This 456-nucleotide ribosomal RNA is filed under the name uncultured bacterium. RNAcentral describes it as "bacterial SSU rRNA". It matches the Rfam family "Bacterial small subunit ribosomal RNA", at positions 340 to 786 of the family's 1533-position model. The record is from RNAcentral.
UACGGGAGGCAGCAGUGGGGAAUAUUGCACAAUGGGCGAAAGCCUGAUGCAGCUAUGCCGCGUGUAUGAAGAAGGCCUUAGGGUUGUAAAGUACUUUCAUCGGGGAGGAAAAAACAAAACUAAUAAUUUUAUUUCUUGACGUUACCCGAAAAAGAAGCACCGGCUAACUCCGUGCCAGCAGCCGCGGUAAUACGGAGGGUGCUAGCGUUAAUCAGAAUUACUGGGCGUAAAGAGCACGUAGGUGGUUUUUUUAAGUCAGAUGUGAAAUCCCUGGGCUUAACCUAGGAACUGCAUUUUGAAACUGAAAUACUAGAGUAUCGUAGAGGGAGGUAGAAUUCUAGGUGUAGCGGUGAAAUGCGUAGAUAUCUGGAGGAAUACCUGUGGCGAAAGCGGCAUCCUAAACGAAUACUGACACUGAGGUGCGAAAGCGUGGGGAGCAAACAGGGAUUAGAUACC